This 457-nucleotide ribosomal RNA is filed under the name uncultured archaeon. RNAcentral describes it as "bacterial SSU rRNA". It matches the Rfam family "Archaeal small subunit ribosomal RNA", at positions 402 to 859 of the family's 1478-position model. The record is from RNAcentral.
GAUAGCUUUUCCCCAGUGUAUAAAGCUGGGAGAAUAAGGAGAGGGCAAGCCUGGUGUCAGCCGCCGCGGUAAUACCAGCUCUCCGAGUGGUGGGGAUGUUUAUUGGGCCUAAAGCAUUCGUAGCCUGCUAGCCAAGUCCUCCGUUAAAUCCACCGAUUCAAUCGUUGGGCUGCGGGGGAUACUGUCUAGCUAGGGGGCGGAAGAGGCCGACGGUAUCCCCGGGGUAGGGGUGAAAUCCUAUAAUCCCGGGUGGACCACCAGUGGCGAAGGCUGUCGGCUAGAACGCGCUCGACGGUGAGGGAUGAAAGCUGGGGGAGCGAACCGGAUUAGAUACCCGGGUAGUCCCAGCUGUAAACGAUGCAGGCUAGGUGUUGGCGCGGCUACGUGCCGCUCCAGUGCCGCAGGGAAGCCGUUAAGCCUGCCGCCUGGGAAGUACGGCCGCAAGGCUGAAACUUAA